UUUUAUGAAUUUUCACAUCAUUAUCUAAAAAUAAAUAAACUGGAAUUUUUUUUAGAAAAUAAAUAAACUGAAAAUUUGAAAAUAAAUAAAUAAAUAAAUAAAUAAACUGCAAAAUUUGAAAAUAAAUUAAUAAAUAAACUGAAUAUUCAGAAAAUAAAUAAACUGAAAAUUCAGAAAAUAAAUAAAUAAACUGAAAACUUAAUAAAUUGGAAAUCAUUUUUUCAGAAAAUAAAUAAACUGAAUACUCGAAAAUAAAUAAAUAAAUAGACUGAAAAUUCAGAAAAUAAAUAAAUAAACUGG
Molecule: long non-coding RNA, 300 nt
Filed under: Salvia miltiorrhiza (redroot sage)
Lineage: Eukaryota; Viridiplantae; Streptophyta; Magnoliopsida; Lamiales; Lamiaceae
Description: long non-coding RNA (SMIL_LNC002942)
Source: RNAcentral